RNAcentral lists this long non-coding RNA (1853 nucleotides) under Hordeum vulgare. RNAcentral describes it as "long non-coding RNA (HVUL_LNC000205)". Lineage: Eukaryota; Viridiplantae; Streptophyta; Magnoliopsida; Poales; Poaceae. The record is from RNAcentral.
CUAGAAGUCAGCUCCACGUUCGGCUAACCUGAAUCUUCAUUUGGACCUCGUUCCAUCCCAAAGUCCUCUCAUCGCUACCUAGGUAUGGGCCGUAUGGCUGCCAAGUUUCUUUUAGUAAUGUAUGUAUCAUCUUCAGACCUGCCUCCAAGGCUCCAUCUAGGUAGAUGUCACGUAAUAUAGUUUCACACCACUAAUUUCGUUUAGUUUCUUGGUUCAAAGUUGUACAAACUAACCUACGAACAAAUGCAAAAGUAUUUCACUAUGCAAACUACAAUGUUUGAUCUGCGCUUGCAAUAGUUCUAAUGCACUUGGAAGACACUAUCGUGAAGAAAGUUAUUGGGUUUUCCACCACCUUAGCCCGACACACACAUAUACUGAAAUGGUCGUUCUUCAAACAAAACGAAGAUUAGCAUCCUUCCUCGUUCACCCCUGUUUUCGAAUGGUUUUGCACGGUGCAGAGUCAUUGAAUGGGAAGUACUAAUUUCAUGGGGUUUGUGGUGCGAUGUCUAGCUAGCAAUUGUAAACACGAAUUAUCUAAUUAAUUGAAGCGGUCUACUUGUUCUGUUCUUAAAGAAAAGGACUUGGCUUCUCCACUUUCGCAAAUCUUGUUUACACAUCAUCACAUAGAGAUUGGGCUCAUCGCAUUAUGGAGAUGCACAUCAUUACUUGUGAGCAGUCAUUUUCAGUAUCAUUGAUAUUGCUUACCAACAUGUUGACCAGGCGCAAACCAAAGCAGAUCCAUCCAAGAUGCUCAAAAUUGUUCACUUUUUGUACUCUUUUGUUCUAUAUUCUUGAACAACCCCACCCACACAUUUAUAGUCUAAGCCUAAAAUAUGUGCUUACUUCACUACUUACUUCAUUUAUUUUGGUUUUCUCAUUGACAGUAAGUUGUAGCACAAUACUGCAUCUCAAGCCGACAUGUAUUCAAGAAUGAUCGUCUUGAAAGAAAGGUGAGGCGUCCAUCCUCAUUUACAGCUCUCGUUUCAGUUGUAUUUGUUUAAUCCUAUCCAUUAUCUGUAGCCUGGGUUCGCUGCUAGACUACAUAUUACUAUUCCGGCUACAAAAUAUAUGUCUCAACAGAAUAUACUAAUCGAGAAGGCCGAAGUCCCGUGAAACGACAACAUACUAGCGGCCAGCUCUAUCUUCUGCCAAUGUGUGAAUCAUGGCUGCAUCUAUUGGCAAACUAAUGAGAUCAAUGAGUUUCUUCAUUAGGACCUCAUAUUGAUUCCUUAGUCUUCUGAUAGCUAGCUAGCAAGUCUAAUUAAUGAGUAAUAUAUUCAGACCUGCAGUAUCCAUCUUAAUAACUCCCUUUAUAAACUAAUAUAAGGUGUUUAAGAUCACUAAAGUAGUGAUCUAAAAUGUCUUAUGUUAGUAUACACACGUAGUAGUUCAUUACUUACCAAUUCCCUUAAGACAUGCACACAAAACAAGGUCAAAUCCAUGGUACAUAUGGUGUCCCUUACGGAUACUAGCAAUAACGUUCUGUAGAUAAUGUUGUUAACAUACACCAUGUUACUUACGAAGCAAUUAUAACUCCUGUCCACUUCUGCUUGGCACACUACUUAUUUAGUUAUUUCCUCAAUUGAUUUGUCUCACUAACAAGUAUUUUAUUUUUACUCCAGUGUAAGCAAUUGCAAGUUGGUUAAGAUGUAACACAACUUCAACCAUUUUUUCAAAACAACGCACUCACAUUUGAUAUUGACCUUAAGAAAUUUUCUUAUUAUUGUAGAUCAGAUGGAAUUCUACAACCUCAAAUCUGAGAAAGUACACACCCAGUCAUCAAUCUUGAUGUAAUGCAAGAAUAUUUGUCCUUGUACUAGACCAAAAUGUUUGCUUGUAUUACUGGCCAUAAC